Gavialis gangeticus (Gharial) is the source of this 755-nucleotide long non-coding RNA. RefSeq lists it as uncharacterized. The transcript is spliced from 2 exons. Lineage: Eukaryota; Metazoa; Chordata; Crocodylia; Gavialidae. The record is from RefSeq and is a predicted model, not a curated record.
GUUCCUGCAUGGAGGAAGGUCCAGUGUAUUGUCAGUGUUGAUGUGAAGUGUCAGAAAAAGUGACCUAAAAAUAGCAGAUUGUACGCAGAUAUGCACCCUGAUGCUCCAUGUUUAUUGUCUCUGUAGUUUUUAUAGAAAAUGUUCCUAGUUCACAAAUCAAAUGCAGAAUUUUGUGCCAGCAUUGCAAACAAAACUUGAUAUCUGAAAAUCGGUUUGCAUGCUUUAAUUAUACAUCACCUGCCACCAGCAGCAAAACAAAAGAUCCAAAUAUAAAUGAGCUAGUAAUUUUGCUUCUGCUGCGUGAAGUAGAACAGAAUGUAUGAUGUAACUGUGGUUUUAUUAAUUGACUUGAUGACUGCAGGCAAACAUUGGUUUUGUCAAUAGAUUUAACUCUGAUUUAGUAACAAGGAAGUACAGGUAUGUUUUUUGUUUCAAGCAACUAUUUAGAUGGAGCCCCUUUUUAAAGAUUACAGUAGCUAAUGUGCAUUUGCCAACACUUUUUAAUUUCAUUAAUUGGCAGUGAGUUUUUCACUUAUGUCUGUGACUUUGCCUACUUGCAUGUUUAAAUAUCCCAACUUUUCUGAUCAGCACACCUCACAAUUUUUUAAGUGUGUUUUCUAAAAAAAAGGUUUUAAAUCAGCAUUGUUGCCUUUGUUCAUCUCGGUUCCAGAUCAGAAUUGAAUUGCAUACUUUAGCUGUAGUAAUUUUUUCAUGCACAGCGCUCUGUGCAAUAAUAAAGCAAGGGACACCAUUUG